This 91-nucleotide ribosomal RNA is filed under the name uncultured Dipodascaceae. RNAcentral's name for it is "partial 5.8S ribosomal RNA". Lineage: Eukaryota; Fungi; Ascomycota; Dipodascomycetes; Dipodascales; Dipodascaceae. The record is from RNAcentral.
UUUUGUUUUGAUUAUAGAAUUUUUGUUAAUUAGUAUUACCUUCACAAAUAAUUAAAAUCAAUAAUGAUCCUUCCGCAGGUUCACCUACGGA